GAACGAANUCNUUCGNGAUUUAGUGGCGGACGGGUGAGUAACGCGUGAGAAUCUGGCUUCAGGUCUGGGACAACCACUGGAAACGGUGGCUAAUACCGGAUGUGCCGAGAGGUGAAAGGUUAACUGCCUGAAGAUGAGCUCGCGUCUGAUUAGCUAGUUGGUAGAGUAAGAGCCUACCAAGGCGACGAUCAGUAGCUGGUCUGAGAGGACGAUCAGCCACACUGGGACUGAGACACGGCCCAGACUCCUACGGGAGGCAGCAGUGGGGAAUUUUCCGCAAUGGGCGAAAGCCUGACGGAGCAAUACCGCGUGAGGGAGGAAGGCUCUUGGGUCGUAAACCUCUUUUCUCAGGGAAGAACACAAUGACGGUACCUGAGGAAUAAGCAUCGGCUAACUCCGUGCCAGCAGCCGCGGUAAUACGGAGGAUGCAAGCGUUAUCCGGAAUGAUUGGGCGUAAAGCGUCCGCAGGUGGCAAUGUAAGUCUGCUGUUAAAGAGUCUAGCUCAACUAGAUAAGAGCAGUGGAAACUACAUAGCUAGAGUACGUUCGGGGCAGAGGGAAUUCCUGGUGUAGCGGUGAAAUGCGUAGAGAUCAGGAAGAACACCGGUGGCGAAGGCGCUCUGCUAGGCCGUAACUGACACUGAGGGACGAAAGCUAGGGGAGCGAAUGGGAUUAGAUACCCCAGUAGUCCUAGCCGUAAACGAUGGAUACUAGGCGUGGCUUGUAUCGACCCGAGCCGUGCCGUAGCUAACGCGUUAAGUAUCCCGCCUGGGGAGUACGCCGGCAACGGUGAAACUCAAAGGAAUUGACGGGGGCCCGCA
RNAcentral lists this ribosomal RNA (820 nucleotides) under Nostoc sp. 'Nephroma arcticum cyanobiont' 70_Hansen_6_Aug._1998. RNAcentral describes it as "bacterial SSU rRNA". It matches the Rfam family "Bacterial small subunit ribosomal RNA", at positions 64 to 925 of the family's 1533-position model. Lineage: Bacteria; Bacillati; Cyanobacteriota; Cyanophyceae; Nostocales; Nostocaceae. The record is from RNAcentral.